RNAcentral lists this ribosomal RNA (468 nucleotides) under uncultured bacterium. Its description in RNAcentral is "partial 16S ribosomal RNA". It matches the Rfam family "Bacterial small subunit ribosomal RNA", at positions 28 to 507 of the family's 1533-position model. The record is from RNAcentral.
GACGAACGCUGGCGGCGUGCUUAACACAUGCAAGUCGAACGGAAAGGCCCUGCGUUUGUGGGGUGCUCGAGUGGCGAACGGGUGAGUAACACGUGAGUAACCUGUCCUUGACUUUGGGAUAACUCCAGGAAACUGGGGCUAAUACCGGAUAGGAGCUCCUGCUGCAUGGUGGGGGUUGGAAAGUUUCGGCGGUUGGGGAUGGACUCGCGGCUUAUCAGCUUGUUGGUGGGGUAGUGGCUUACCAAGGCUUUGACGGGUAGCCGGCCUGAGAGGGUGACCGGCCACAUUGGGACUGAGGUACGCCCCAGACUGCUACCGGCGGCAGCGGUGGGGAGUAUUGCACAAUGGGCGGGAGCCUGAUGCGGAAACGCCGCGUGCGGGAUGACGGCCUUCGGGUUGUGAACCGCUUUCGCCGGUGACGAAGAGUGAGUGACGGUAAUGGGUAAAGAAGCACCGGCUAACUACGUG